CUCCCAUUGAGAAUGGCUGCUCAGAAAGGUUAUGGAGAGACACUGGCUGUCAUGACUUCAUCCUGUCGCUUGUCAACCUGAAGGGACUGGCCAUUGUGAUCUCAUCCUGAUGCUGUCACCUGGGACUGAGACUUCCCUGAGUGCUAACAUGUUUCCUUGGGAAACAUGGAAAGUUUAGAGCUCAACCAGCUAAAGGAUUUGCUUCCCUCUACACACCCAAUUGUGCACCCUCCAGAUGAUGCAAAUGUCACAUUGGCACUCCAAGAGUGACAAGAACUCUGACUUUCCAGAAUCUUCAGUUAAAAUGGCAGAUGGAAGAUGGAGGCUGCUGGAGGCUGCAAUCUCACAGCUAAACACGUUAAACAAUGAAUGUGCCAAAAAGAAUGCAUGCCCUACUAAUAGGCCAGAAAAGCUGCAUGGUAGCUCUUGAAUGGGAAGGAUGGAUCGUUCUAAAU
Non-coding RNA from Pogona vitticeps (central bearded dragon), 455 nucleotides. Lineage: Eukaryota; Metazoa; Chordata; Lepidosauria; Squamata; Agamidae. The record is from RefSeq and is a predicted model, not a curated record.